Molecule: transfer RNA, 70 nt
Filed under: Marmota monax (woodchuck)
Lineage: Eukaryota; Metazoa; Chordata; Mammalia; Rodentia; Sciuridae
Description: tRNA.Ala
Source: RNAcentral
GGGCUGGGGCUCAGUGGUGGAGUACUCGCCUAGCACACGUGAGGCCCUGGGUUUGAUCCUCAGCACCACA